Molecule: small nucleolar RNA, 87 nt
Organism: Penicillium nalgiovense
Lineage: Eukaryota; Fungi; Ascomycota; Eurotiomycetes; Eurotiales; Aspergillaceae
Source: Rfam
CUAUGAUGAUACCCUUUAGAUGACGAGUCUGAUUCGAGUUUUCGAUGCUGACACAAUCUUUUUAAUACCAUUCAUGCCUUUCUGACA